UCAGGAUGAACGCUGGCGGCGUGCCUAACACAUGCAAGUCGAACGAAGCAUGCGGACCGGAGAUUCGUCGAAGGACCGUAUGACUUAGUGGCGGACGGGUGAGUAAUGUAUGAGCAACCUGCCUUUCAGAGGGGGACAACAGUUGGAAACGACUGCUAAUACCGCGUAAUGUAUCGUGAGGGCAUCCUCGUGAUACCAAAGGAGCAAUCCGCUGAAAGAUGGGCUCAUAUCUGAUUAGCUUGUUGGCGGGGUAACGGCCCACCAAGGCGACGAUCAGUAGCCGGACUGAGAGGUUGAACGGCCACAUUGGGACUGAGAUACGGCCCAGACUCCUACGGGAGGCAGCAGUGGGGAAUAUUGGACAAUGGGGGAAACCCUGAUCCAGCGACGCCCGCGUGAGUGAAGAAGUAUUUCGGUAUGUAAAGCUCUAUCAGCAGGGAAGAUGAUGACGGUACCUGACUAAGAAGCACCGGCUAAAUACGUGCCAGCAGCGGC
Molecule: ribosomal RNA, 495 nt
Filed under: uncultured bacterium
Lineage: Bacteria
Description: bacterial SSU rRNA
Rfam family: Bacterial small subunit ribosomal RNA
Source: RNAcentral